RNAcentral lists this long non-coding RNA (547 nucleotides) under Mytilus galloprovincialis (Mediterranean mussel). Lineage: Eukaryota; Metazoa; Mollusca; Bivalvia; Mytilida; Mytilidae. The record is from RNAcentral.
AGCUGGUGUUCCCAAGGGAUCGGUUCUGGGCCCUCUUCUCUUUGUCUUAUACAUUAAUGAUAUCGCUGAUAAGCUUACUUCACUGUGUCGGCUAUUUGCUGACGACACAUCAUUCAAUUAUUCUGGUAACGACGGAGAACAGAUUAAAUCUGUUAUCGAUCGCGACUUGAAAGAGCUGGAUGUUUGGUCUUCUGAAUGGCUGAUGUCAUUUAACCCAGAUAAAACCGAAAUUAUGAUUUUUUCAAAUAUUGAGACUCCAGACCUUAGCUUUUCCUUAAAUGGUAAAAAUAUACCUUUAAGUACAUCUCAUAAGCACCUGGGAGUUAAUUUUAGUAGUGACGCAAAAUGGAACAAUCAUGUUGAAAGUAUAAUUCUAAGUGUAAAGAAACACUUAAAUGUUUUACGUAAACUUAAAUACCGAUUAUCUCGAAAUAAUUUAGAAAAACUAUACUUAGUUUUUAUUCGACCCAUUUUUGAAUAUGCCACGGAAGUGUGGGAUAAUUGUGGAAUAGGCUACUCACAUAAAUUAGAAAAUUUGCAAUUAGAG